This 638-nucleotide ribosomal RNA is filed under the name uncultured Acinetobacter sp. Its description in RNAcentral is "bacterial SSU rRNA". It matches the Rfam family "Bacterial small subunit ribosomal RNA", at positions 567 to 1205 of the family's 1533-position model. Lineage: Bacteria; Pseudomonadati; Pseudomonadota; Gammaproteobacteria; Moraxellales; Moraxellaceae. The record is from RNAcentral.
GUGCGUAGGCGGCCAAUUAAGUCAAAUGUGAAAUCCCCGAGCUUAACUUGGGAAUUGCAUUCGAUACUGGUUGGCUAGAGUAUGGGAGAGGAUGGUAGAAUUCCAGGUGUAGCGGUGAAAUGCGUAGAGAUCUGGAGGAAUACCGAUGGCGAAGGCAGCCAUCUGGCCUAAUACUGACGCUGAGGUACGAAAGCAUGGGGAGCAAACAGGAUUAGAUACCCUGGUAGUCCAUGCCGUAAACGAUGUCUACUAGCCGUUGGGGCCCUUGAGGCUUUAGUGGCGCAGCUAACGCGAUAAGUAGACCGCCUGGGGAGUACGGUCGCAAGACUAAAACUCAAAUGAAUUGACGGGGGCCCGCACAAGCGGUGGAGCAUGUGGUUUAAUUCGAUGCAACGCGAAGAACCUUACCUGGCCUUGACAUACAGAGAACUUUCCAGAGAUGGAUUGGUGCCUUCGGGAACUCUGAUACAGGUGCUGCAUGGCUGUCGUCAGCUCGUGUCAUGAGAUGUUGGGUUAAGUCCCGCAACGAGCGCAACCCUUUUCCUUAUUUGCCAGCACUUCGGGUGGGAACUUUAAGGAUACUGCCAGUGACAAACUGGAGGAAGGCGGGGACGACGUCAAGUCAUCAUGGCCCUUAC